GACGAACGCUGGCGGCGUGCUUAACACAUGCAAGUCGAACGGAAAGACCCUGCUUUUGUGGGGUGCUCGAGUGGCGAACGGGUGAGUAACACGUGGGUAACCUGCCCUUGACUUUGGGAUAACUUCAGGAAACUGGGGCUAAUACCGGAUAGGAGCUCCUGCUGCAUGGUGGGGGUUGGAAAGUUUCGGCGGUUGGGGAUGGACUCGCGGCUUAUCAGCUUGUUGGUGGGGUAGUGGCUUACCAAGGCUUUGACGGGUAGCCGGCCUGAGAGGGUGACCGGCCACAUUGGGACUGAGAUACGGCCCAGACUCCUACGGGAGGCAGCAGUGGGGAAUAUUGCACAAUGGGCGGAAGCCUGAUGCAGCAACGCCGCGUGCGGGAUGACGGCCUUCGGGUUGUAAACCGCUUUCGCCUGUGACGAAGCGUGAGUGACGGUAAUGGGUAAAGAAGCACCGGCUAACUACGUG
This 468-nucleotide ribosomal RNA is filed under the name uncultured bacterium. RNAcentral's name for it is "partial 16S ribosomal RNA". It matches the Rfam family "Bacterial small subunit ribosomal RNA", at positions 28 to 507 of the family's 1533-position model. The record is from RNAcentral.